Molecule: non-coding RNA, 582 nt
Organism: Paramuricea clavata
Lineage: Eukaryota; Metazoa; Cnidaria; Anthozoa; Malacalcyonacea; Plexauridae
Source: the annotation of a GenBank genome assembly
AACAAAGCAGAUGAAGUACAAAACAAUGGCUCAGGAGAAAAAACAAAAAAUAUUGGAAAACAGAAAAACAAAAUAUGAAAAGUUAGAUAAAUCAAAGAAAGAAGAACAGCUUACCAAAAAUAUGAAUUAUAGAAAAACAAUGAAUAAGGGACAAAAGCAAAAAAACUGCAGAAUAAAAGAACAAAAUAUAAUGAAAUGGAUCAAUCAAAAAAAGAGGAACUGCUUACUACAAAUAUGAAUUAUAGGGAAACAAUGAGUAAAGAACAAAAGCAAAAAAUACUGGAGAAUAAAAGAAUAAAAUAUGAAGAAAUGGAUCAAUCAAGGAGAGAAGAACUGCUUACUAAAAAUAUUAAUUAUAGAAAAACAAUGAGUAAAGAACAAAAGCGAAAAACACAAGAGAAUAAAAGAGCUAAAUAUGAAGCAAUGGAUCAAUCAAAGAAAGAGGAACUGCUUUCUAAAAAUAUGAAUUAUAAGGAAACAAUAAGGAAAGAACAAAAACUAUUAGAGAACACGAGAGCCAAAUAUCAAGAAGUGGAUAUAUCAAAGAAAAAGGAGUUGAAAGAAAAACGGAUGGAAAAGAAA